ACUGUGAUGGUCUUCGAAUCUCGACCCCCAAGUAGCCAGUGAGCAAAUGAGGCUCAGAGGAGAGACUGCCUAAGGUCGUGGGCUGCAGGUCGAGGCCUGGCUGUGCAGCUGUUCGCAUGCUCAGGUCCCAAACUUUUAUCACGUAUUUUAAAGAAGGUGACAUUCCCAGCAGCCUGGAGCCCCCUGGGGAGCAGACUUGACUCAUGUGGGCCUCCCAGCCUGCCCAGCGCCUGGUGCGGGCGGGUGCCUUCUAUGUAUUCAUUGGACAAACAAGCAACUGAGCAAUGGGAAAGAUGGGGUGUCCCAUCUCCCCAAGUUCCCACCUGAUCACAAUGAUGUCCCAGCUUCGUUUGGCUUUGGAGCCCUGCAAAGUUUCUCCAGGACUCUGAGAUUUCCCUGGGGUCCUGGCUGGACGCUUGAAGCUCUGGCCUGCUCUUUUCUGUCCUUCUCAUUGUCCAGUCCUCAGUCUCCCAGCCCCAUAGUGUGGGGCAGGGAGAACCCAGGCCUGGGGUGAAGCUCCUGCCCUCCAUCAGAAGGGUGUGGCUCGGGGCUUUGCCUCCCAUCUGAGUCACCUCCAAGGUGUGGCAGGCUGACUCAGACCGGAGGUCCUCCAGCUUCCCAGGGGCCUGAGCCUGCCAGGGCAGGGCUGGUGGGGCGGGGGGAGGGGGUCGGCCCCACACCAGGAAGGUGUUAAAACCUCUCAGGGAGGCCUGUGGCUGUGGUCUAUCUGUGGUCUCCCUGGUUUCUGCACGGGAACACUGAGCCUAGAAGCAGCAGCUGGAUGUGGCAGGGGUGGCACACUGUCCCUGUCUGUUCACUUCCCCUCCUGAACUGCAGGUUCUGCAGGUUCCCCUACAGCAAGGGGCUGCCCGCCAUCAUGCCUCCUGGAGUGGCCCAGAGCUGGUGCUGCCACGGACUGCUGGACAGGGUCUCAUUCAGUCUCCACAAAGACCCCGCAGAGCCCCACUCUGCAGGAAUCCUGGCACCUGGCAGAAGGGGGCUUGAGAAUUUAAAGGUGGGAUGCACAGUUUGUGCACGCUGGGUCAUGUGUGCAGUGGGUCUCAGAGCCCUGUGCCGAGAGCGGUUCUUCCUGGAGCUCGCUGGGGGAUGAGCUGGACACGGGUCACGGGAGACUCCUAACGACAGCCAGGAUUUGAAAUCCCACCUGUGCAGCCGGAACUCACUCCGGAAGACCCCGACCCUGACUCACCCUCCCUGCGGGUGGCUGAUGUGGGUGUGAUUCUCACCUGAAGAACCAAAGUCGGCUUCCCAGCUGCCCCAACCCUGAGGGAUGAGGGAAAGGGACCACCUCUGGGUGUGUGUCAAACAAGAAGCCUGUCCUCAAGGCCCCAGUGCCCCUGCUUCGAGCUGGCAAGAGGCAACUGACCCAGGAGGAGGAGCCAGAGGACAGCUGGAGACCUGCGUUCCGAGGGCUGCGUGUGGCCCUGGGAUGUGGCCUCUGUCCCAGCCCUGCAUCGAGGGUCCAGCCACGGGGACUGGAGGACAGAGGGGCUGGGUGGGGACUGGCGUAGGGGCACUGGACAAGCCAUGACGAAGCAGAGAAGCAAUGAGUAAAGGCAACAAUAACAAAACAGUACACACUGUGCUGCGCACAGGGAGCCUGUCUCAGAUUACCUCAUUUAACCGUCACAGGGGUCGCUUUUGUAGGCAACCACCGAAGACCACAAGAUCUCAAGUCCAGCGGCCAGGGAUCACUCAGAACUCUUUCCCUCCUCUCCCACAAGGCAUCAUCACGAGAGUCCCCAUCCCAGAGGGUAGAUGGGCCAUGUCUGGGAUCAUCUGGAACAUCUGUGGCAGAAAGGACGGGCUCAAAUCAUGUGAUCACUAGUGAUGCAGAGGUGGAGCUCAAGGAGGUACUUGCCCAAGGCUGCACCGCAGCUGAGUGAUGGAGCUCGAAUGUAACUUUAGAUCUGAGUGGGCUAAAGCCCCACCGCUCCCCUAACACACCUGUGGCAGCCUCACAGGUGUCCCUCUGGUCCUUUGGAAGGGCUGUUUAAAACCGCAGUUGCCUGAAGGGUUUGGGUCCUCUAGAGGAACUGGCCGGAAGUCACACACGCAGCCUUGUCCUGGCCAGGCCGGGCGCCCUCAGCAAGCAGCCUCUCAUGCCAGGUCCUCCCUUUCCCCUGCAGCAGGUGCAGCCCCUUCCCGGCCUCCCGUCUGGCCCACACCCCUCACAGGGCACAGGAAAUGAUGGCCAAGCUCCACUCCAAACCACAGGGGAAAUUUUUUUGUCUGGGCUUGUCUAGAAUCCAGCCGGGGCCCCUGGGCAGACAUUCUGUCAUUUGCAAAAGGCAGGGGUGGGAAGCGGGUGAGGAGGGGGCAUGUGGUUCCUGCACUGUCUGGCCUUGGGAUUCCCCUCAGCGGCCUGGAGCUUCGGUGGUACGGACAGACUCCCAGACCUGCCUACACGAACAGUCCUGGGGCUUCGGGCAAGCCAGACCCAAUCACAGCCAUGUGCUGGCUGGGGGAUGGCAGGCUGGCACCACCCACGCUUGCUGUGUGACCCUGGACAGGUACCUUGUCCUCUCUGAUCUCCACUCCCCACUGUGUCAGCAUCAUCUCAACUUCUACCUGGACUUGCAGGGAGGUUUCUGCCCCUGCAGAACUUAACUUUCUGAUCCCAGCACCAAAAGAAAAAUAAGCAAAU
Long non-coding RNA from Cavia porcellus (domestic guinea pig), 2668 nucleotides. RefSeq lists it as uncharacterized. The record is from RefSeq and is a predicted model, not a curated record. The transcript has 4 exons. NCBI's taxonomy places the organism in Eukaryota, Metazoa, Chordata, Mammalia, Rodentia, Caviidae.